UCUAUGGAUGUACGCCACUUAGGUGUUCCGGCCUCUUCACAUAGAAUCCGAGAAACGUGAACUGGUGGGAGGUAAGGAAUUCAUUACGGUGGCUGAUCCACUGCUGGAAGGCCGUUAUCCAGAGCAAGGCUUGUACCAAGCUCUUUCUCUCACAGCUGAGUGUUUGCAUCGUAAAGAUGUGAAAAGGCACGUUAUCCAGAUCAGUUUGGCUUCAAACAUAUUAUUUUUAAUCCUUUGUGAAUUAAUAUCCUUUGUGAAUUGUAAUCCUUUGUGUAUAAACUUGAAGAGAAUGAAUUCGUGAAAAAAGAUUGAAAUGUCUAAGCAUUUCCUUAACAUCAACAGUGAUAUAAAUCAAUUGGAUUUUGUGAGGUUCAGACAUGUAUUCCAAGUGGAUUUUGGGAGUCUAAGCGUCAUAGCUCUCUUUUGAGCUUCUAUUGUAUCAAGUGGAUUUUUGGUGCCAUGGGAGAAUUGGAUUUUUAAUAUUUGAUCAGA
This is a long non-coding RNA of Papaver somniferum (opium poppy), 492 nucleotides long. RefSeq lists it as uncharacterized. The transcript is spliced from 2 exons. NCBI's taxonomy places the organism in Eukaryota, Viridiplantae, Streptophyta, Magnoliopsida, Ranunculales, Papaveraceae. The record is from RefSeq and is a predicted model, not a curated record.